AACUGCUUUUUAGGGGAAUAAAGAGGGACACGCGUGUCCUGUUGCAUGUACCCUUAGAAUAAGGACCGGCUAAUUCCGUGCCAGCAGCCGCGGUAAUACGGAAGGUCCAGGUGUUAUCCGGAUUUAUUGGGUUUAAAGGGAGCGUAGGCCGCAGGUUAAGUGUGUUGUGAAAAGCAGUCGCCCAACGUCUGCCUUGCAGCGCAAACUGUCCUGCUUGAGUGCGCACAACGCAGGCGGAAUUCGUCGUGUAGCGGUGAAAUGCUUAGAUAUGACGAAGAACUCCGAUUGCGAAGGCAGCUUGCGGGAGCGCAACUGACGCUGAAGCUCGAAAGUGCGGGUAUCGAACAGGAUUAGAUACCCUGGUAGUCC
Molecule: ribosomal RNA, 369 nt
Filed under: uncultured Prevotella sp.
Lineage: Bacteria; Pseudomonadati; Bacteroidota; Bacteroidia; Bacteroidales; Prevotellaceae
Description: bacterial SSU rRNA
Rfam family: Bacterial small subunit ribosomal RNA
Source: RNAcentral